UACGUAGGUCCCGAGCGUUGUCCGGAUUUAUUGGGCGUAAAGCGAGCGCAGGCGGUUCUUUAAGUCUGAAGUUAAAGGCAGUGGCUUAACCAUUGUAUGCAUUGGAAACUGGUAGACUUGAGUGCAGGAGAGGAGAGUGGAAUUCCAUGUGUAGCGGUGAAAUGCGUAGAUAUAUGGAGGAACACCGGUGGCGAAAGCGGCUCUCUGGCCUGUAACUGACACUGAGGCUCGAAAGCGUGGGGAGCAAACAGG
This 252-nucleotide ribosomal RNA is filed under the name uncultured microorganism. Its description in RNAcentral is "partial 16S ribosomal RNA". It matches the Rfam family "Bacterial small subunit ribosomal RNA", at positions 524 to 776 of the family's 1533-position model. The record is from RNAcentral.